Molecule: long non-coding RNA, 2566 nt
Filed under: Homo sapiens (human)
Lineage: Eukaryota; Metazoa; Chordata; Mammalia; Primates; Hominidae
Description: HSALNT0318735
Source: RNAcentral
AGAGUGCAACGGAAAGAAAAGGAGGAGUUGCAUGGGAUGGUGGCCAAGUUCUCAUUGUGACCCAGGGACCAUUACAGUAAAAGGAACCUGCCUAGGGAACUUGCUCAGCUCUCUCUAAACACAGUCAGCUCCAUGUUCCCAACUGAAUGUCACGUCAAUGCGUCGAUGUUAAUUCCGGUAAACUGAAUCCACCCGAGAAUCUUGUUGUGGAAGCAAAAUCGGCUUAAAAGGCUUCUUUGAUGCACAGGGAAUUCUCACAAGCAAUAAAUUAAAAAUAAUCAACGAGUUAUUUUAUAUAAUCUGUAUAUAAUAUAAAGUAAUUGUGUCCAUAAAUAACGAGGCAGUUAAACAGGAAAAGAAAGGAUUUUUACCUGACGUUCACAUCGCUUCACAAGGUUUAGUGGAUUCAGAAGGACAUCUGGACUCCAGGAAAAUUUAAGCGUAGCAUUUUGAGACUUCCCUAAGGCCCCCUUCUCUAGUACGCAAUCGCGGAUUCACCAGCUUGAGUCAGUUGGCCUCAGUUUUGCUUUUGGAGGUUUAAGUCGGGUGGUGGGAAGAGAUACAUUUCCAUUCCUGAUAUGGCCACAAGAGGGAGCUCCCAAUGGUCGGCUGCACCUGAAAGUCCUGUCCGUGAAAACUGACAAAGAAAACUUGAUUUAAAAGGCGUCUUCUGAUAAACCUCAGCAUCUCCUUACUAACAUACUAAGAGCAAUCACUGAACACUUUUCGUAUGUUCAAUGCGUCCUCGCGGGAUCUGAGAAGCAUUGUCCUAUUAAAUCUCAGUCGUCUGAUUUUCAGCAUCAAUUUAUCUUGGGAGCUGCUCCUGCAUUUUAUAAGGUGAAUUCUACAGCAACGAGAUUAAAGAUUCAGAAAGUCUUAUUGGCUGUGCAAACUUGAGGGAGUUGCCUAACCACUCUGGGCCCUGUUUUCCUGGCUUUGCCACUCUUCAGCUGUGUGACCCGGGGAAGCUCUCAACCUCUUUGUGCCUCCAUUUCCACAUCUGUAAAAUGGGGAUAUGAAAGUGGCUGCUUUGUGAAGAGUCCUGAGAAUAAAUGAGUUAAGGAAAACUGAUAUGGAUAAAUAUGGAAGAGAGCUGGCCAGUGGAUGAAAUGGUGAUGUAAAGGUUAAGAGAAAUAAAAGCAGGAGACGAGGAGAGAGUCACACCACGGUGAGCAGAGAGUUGAGCUGGGGCCCGGGACAAGCAUCAAAAGUGUCACUUCCUCUGAGGUCCCAACCCUACUUCCAUAGGCUCUGCAGCCCACACCACCUUGGAACCAAACAGGGAGGUGGCAGAACUGAUGGGCUGGCCGCACCACCUUAAAUCUCUUAGCUCCAAAACUGGAGGUGCUCAUCAGGACCCUGCAUCAUUUCUGUGGGUGAUGGAUGGUGUGAGGUAAGGCACAGAGAUCUAGACUUAUUUCUCCUUCCACAACAAUUGUUUCUUGGAAGAGGAAGAAAACUUAGCUGGAUUUUAUCUCUUUGUGUGGAUUUCUGGGGUAGACACCCAGAGGUGUGUGCAGGAGCAUGCUCUUUGGGGCCCACAUAGAGAUUCCAGCAGGUGCUGGAGAUUCUGGGGUAGCCUUUCCAUGACUGCUGGCCUCUUUUCCCCUGUGUUGCUUUGGUUUGCUGUCUGGCUAAAGGCAGGAGUGGGAGAAACUCACAUUCCACAAGAGGCUGCCUGGAGCAGAGGCCAAGAGGGUAAGGUUUGUCCAAGGCCUUCCAUCUCAGCUUUGCUGCCAAUUUGUCAGAAAAAAAAUCAUUUGUGCCAAUUAGACCCUGGUUAGGAAAGUGUUGUCCUGUCUGGGAAGCAGGUACAGAAACCAGUUGCAAGGACAGGAGAUCAAUGAAAGUGACACAUUACUUAUGCCUCCAAUUCUUCUCAGCCCUCAAUUUAGUCUCUGAGACACAGAGAAAAUAAGUGUACUUGCCUUGCUAAUGGGUACAUGGUUGGCUUUGGGCAAUUUAUAUAGAGCACUUUAGUUCCAAGAUGAAAUGCACUGAGAUAUUAGGAUUAGUCUCUGCUUUAAUGAGUUUCUGACUUGCAGGUUUGAAAAAAUUUAGUUCUUUUCUGUAUUUCUCUACAAACACAAAACAAUGAUUUAAUGGUAAAACAACAAUGAAAAGAAACUAGGCCAUUCUCUCCAAAAUGAUUAAAAGGGUACUUCUCCUGACCUGACAUAACCUUUCCUCAUAUGAAUUUAUUAUCUGUAUUCACACUCAUAUUCCACUGGAAUGCCUUGGGUCCAGGUGGAUGGUUGCUUAUGGUUAGUAUCGAUUCUGAGCAGGUAGGCAUUCAUACUGUUUGGUUGACGCCUGUGGUGAACAGACCUUAAGGUGACUUCUUGCACCCCUGAGUCAUUUUCUUGUAUAAUCUCCUCUCUUUGAGGACACAAACUGUGCCCUGCUUCAAACCAGUGGAAUAGAGACAAGGUGAUGAGAUCUUUGGUUAUUGCACCUAACUGCUUCAUUCAUUGCACAAUUAGUCACACGCUGUUUUGUGAUGCAGAACAUUUUUUUUUAAGAGAUGGUAGUCUCACUCUGACACCCAGGUUGGAGUGCAGUGACA